Molecule: non-coding RNA, 72 nt
Organism: Ovis aries (sheep)
Lineage: Eukaryota; Metazoa; Chordata; Mammalia; Artiodactyla; Bovidae
Source: Rfam
UCCCUGAAGGCUCAGAGAUAAAGAAUCUGCCUGCAAUGCAGGAGACUCAGGUUCAAUCCCUGGGUCAGAGAG